AGCCAACUGUACCGCAAACCAACACAGGUUCGUCGUAACAAGGCUUAAAUUCAGGUAAAGGAACUCGGCAAAAAAUUUAAGGUGCUAGCAUCUUAAAGGUAUUGAGCAACGACUGUUUCCCAAAAACACAGGACUUUGCAAAAAUUAAUAUUUAAGUAAAAAGUCUGAAGCCUGCCCAAAGGCUAAGCAAACGGCAGCUGUAACUCUAACGGCUCUAAGGUAGCGAAAUUCCUUGACAUUUAAAUGGUGUCCAGCAUGAAUGGCUUAACGACUGCUCGUCUGUCUCUAUCUGAAACGCUGUGAAUUUGAAAUGCUUGUGCAGAUGCAGGCAUACGCGCAAGGGACGAAGAGACCCUAAGCAGCUUUA
This 367-nucleotide ribosomal RNA is filed under the name Polytomella parva. RNAcentral describes it as "partial Bacterial large subunit ribosomal RNA". It matches the Rfam family "Bacterial large subunit ribosomal RNA", at positions 1636 to 2103 of the family's 2925-position model. The record is from RNAcentral. Lineage: Eukaryota; Viridiplantae; Chlorophyta; Chlorophyceae; Chlamydomonadales; Chlamydomonadaceae.